This 225-nucleotide ribosomal RNA is filed under the name uncultured Treponema sp. RNAcentral describes it as "partial 16S ribosomal RNA". It matches the Rfam family "Bacterial small subunit ribosomal RNA", at positions 568 to 792 of the family's 1533-position model. The record is from RNAcentral. Lineage: Bacteria; Pseudomonadati; Spirochaetota; Spirochaetia; Treponematales; Treponemataceae.
CAUGUAGGCGGUUAAGCAAGCUUGGUGUGAAAUUCCGAGGCUCAACUUCGGAACUGCAUUGAGAACUGCAUAACUAGAAUUACUGAAGGGUAGCUAGAAUUCCAAGUGUAGGGGUGAAAUCUGUAGAUAUUUGGAAGAAUACCAAUGGCGAAGGCAAGCUACUGGCAGAUAAUUGACGCUGAGGUGCGAAGGUGCGGGGAGCAAACAGGAUUAGAUACCCCUGUA